AGCAGGGUGGCCUAUUGAAAAGAGCACCAGCUUUGAAGUCUGAGGACCUGGGUUCUAAACCUAGCUCUGCCA
RNAcentral lists this transfer RNA (72 nucleotides) under Ornithorhynchus anatinus (platypus). It matches the Rfam family "tRNA". Rfam says of the family: Transfer RNA (tRNA) molecules are approximately 80 nucleotides in length. Their secondary structure includes four short double-helical elements and three loops (D, anti-codon, and T loops). Further hydrogen bonds mediate the characteristic L-shaped molecular structure. tRNAs have two regions of fundamental functional importance: the anti-codon, which is responsible for specific mRNA codon recognition, and the 3' end, to which the tRNAs corresponding amino acid is attached (by aminoacyl-tRNA synthetases). tRNAs cope with the degeneracy of the genetic code in two manners: having more than one tRNA (with a specific anti-codon) for a particular amino acid; and 'wobble' base-pairing, i.e. permitting non-standard base-pairing at the 3rd anti-codon position. The record is from Rfam by way of RNAcentral. Lineage: Eukaryota; Metazoa; Chordata; Mammalia; Monotremata; Ornithorhynchidae.